RNAcentral lists this long non-coding RNA (700 nucleotides) under Homo sapiens (human). RNAcentral's name for it is "non-protein coding lnc-BTN3A2-2:1". The record is from RNAcentral. Lineage: Eukaryota; Metazoa; Chordata; Mammalia; Primates; Hominidae.
CCCAUCUCUUUCAGUAGUUAGAAGACAUAUUUUCAGAUGUAUUAUAAAAAUUAGUUUUUGUCUGUAGUAGAACUAGCUGUAUUUCUUACGUGUUGCAGUGAGGAAGAACACACAUCAUGGGGAGCUGUGGCGGGGUCUCAGUAAGAAGGUGUUAGAGCAGACUUGGUAUACAAUUUGGGCUUGUGUUAGGGGAUUGGGGCCGGGGGAGUUCAUAGACUUAGCCCUCUGCUCUGGAUGAGAUUCCAUCAGGAAGGUGUGGGCAGGUUAAUUCUGAGUGAGAGCCUUAAUCAAUCUUAUGUAGGAAGAAGGAGACCAGGGUGAGACAAAAGCUGUAAUUGAUGAAGGGGCAGCAAUCCCUCAUUGCUGAGGGGGGAUGUUUGGUCACUGCUGUGGUUUGGACAAUGUUCAUGUUUUUCUCUAUGCUCACAUAUGAUGUGGGGUGGUAUUGUUUUUCCCAUGAUCCAUCAUAGUCACAAAGUGCCAUUGUCUGUGUUCUGUGAAAUUGCUUAUGUUCAACAGGAUGACACAGAGACCCGGUGUCAGUUUCCAUAUGUUGGGACAGCUUUUCUCUUUCUCAGUGCAAUCCCUUGCCCUGUGGCUGCUGGUUAGGUUUGGUUUAAGGGGAUCUCUAGCAGACAAUCAUAGGAGGAAGAGAAAAGGAAGAAGUCUGGGUGCUUAUUCACUGGCUUCCUUACUGCAA